RNAcentral lists this ribosomal RNA (468 nucleotides) under uncultured bacterium. RNAcentral describes it as "partial 16S ribosomal RNA". It matches the Rfam family "Bacterial small subunit ribosomal RNA", at positions 28 to 507 of the family's 1533-position model. The record is from RNAcentral.
GACGAACGCUGGCGGCGUGCUUAACUCAUGCAAGUCGAACGGAAAGGCCCUGCUUUUGUGGGGUGCUCGAGUGGCGAAAGGGUGAGUAACACGUGAGUAACCUGCCCUUGACUUUGGGAUAACUUCAGGAAACUGGGGCUAAUACCGGAUAGGAGCUCCUGCUGCAUGGUGGGGGUUGGAAAGUUUCGGCGGUUGGGGAUGGACUCGCGGCUGAUCAGCUUGCUGGUGGGGUAGUGGCUUACCAAGGCUUUGACGGGUAGCCGGCCUGAGAAGGUGACCGGCCACAUUGGGACUGAGGUACGGCACAGACUUAUACGGGAGGCAGCAGUGGGGAAUAUUGAACAACGGGCGGAAGCCUGAUGCAGCAACGCCGCGUGCGGGAUGACGGCCUUCGGGUUGUAAACCGCUUUCGCCCGUGACGAAGAGUGAGUGACGGUAAUGGGUAAAGAAGCACCGGCUAACUACGUG